Molecule: transfer RNA, 64 nt
Filed under: Diprion wenshanicus
Lineage: Eukaryota; Metazoa; Arthropoda; Insecta; Hymenoptera; Diprionidae
Description: tRNA-Asn
Source: RNAcentral
UUAAUUGAAGCCAAAUAGAGGCUUAUUAUUGUUAAUAAUAAAAUUGAGUAUUAUUCCAAUUAAA